RNAcentral lists this ribosomal RNA (301 nucleotides) under uncultured bacterium. Its description in RNAcentral is "partial 16S ribosomal RNA". It matches the Rfam family "Bacterial small subunit ribosomal RNA", at positions 509 to 808 of the family's 1533-position model. The record is from RNAcentral.
CAGUAGCCGCGGGAAUACGUAGGUGGCGAGCGUUGUCCGGAAUCAUUGGGCGUAAAGGGAGCGCAGGCGGGCAUGUAAGUCUUUCUUAAAAGUGCGGGGCUCAACCCCGUGAUGGGAAAGAAACUAUGUGUCUUGAGUACAGGAGAGGAAAGCGGAAUUCCCAGUGUAGCGGUGAAAUGCGUAGAUAUUAGGAGGAACACCAGUGGCAAAGGCGGCUUUCUGGACUGCAACUGACGCUGAGGCUCGAAAGCCAGGGGAGCGAACGGGAUUAGAUACCCCAGUAGUCCCUGUCUCUUAUACC